GUUCCACUGUGAUUGUAGCUUGCUGCUGGCGUCUGCCUGACUAUUCACCCAAAGCUUUGCAUCUACUGAUUUGAUCUUUUGGUCUGGGUUUUUUUUCUUGAUGGAUCAGAUCUUCUACUGGAUCUAAGGAUGCCCUGACAAAAGAACAAAUAUAUCUUUCUGCUGUCAAAAGCAAGAACACUGCCUGGGGCCCAGCAACCCCUCCUGGCAAGGAAAUAAAGAUGUUCACUGUUGGGCCAAACUGGAGAAUCUGGAGGAAAGAGCCUAGAAUUGUAUUUUUGACUGCACAGAGCCAAAGUGUCAACUUGUACCCUGACUGAAACAAAACUUUAAUGAGCUUGGAGUGUUCACUCAUCACCCCAGCUGCGUCUCUUUUCAGUCAGACAGGAGAAGAGUCUGGCCAUAGCUACGCUUCACUCUUCAUACAACUGUUGUUUCUGAAGAACUCAGAAAGUUGCUCAGUUAAGGUUCACCUAUGGGAGAGCAGUCGGGUAUUUUCACCUUAUGUACGCUCGGAUGAAGCAGUCACUUACUGCCUGAAUGCAUCUGCAGAAAGCCUGAGCAACAUACAGCUGGAUAAAAGGAAUGACGAGAUAGACUUUCUGUCAUGGUUGGAAGUCGGUGGCUCUGACCUCUGUGUAGUGAUUUGUAGAAGUUUUUUCACUUUACUUUUUUUACUUUCCUGUGUGUAAAUACAGAAGAGUUAAAAAAAGAAAACAAUUCUUAAGCUAGAUUUACUUGUAAGUUUUCUUUUUUUGGAUGAGAACACAGCACCUUUAUGACAAGUAAACUAAAUGAUAUGAGCUCUUCUUUUGCCCAAGGCACAAUAUUUUUAUUGGAUCUUAAGAACAGACAUGAUUUGAAAUCCUCCUCCCAGAUGAUGCUUGGAAAGCAAACUUUUCCAGUUGAAGCAAAUUAAGAUGGAGGUGAAAAUGAACCAACUCUUUUCAGAAAACACUAUUCUAGACAGAAAUGAAAAAUAAAUUAAAUUUGGUUUUUCAAUAGCUAAA
Molecule: long non-coding RNA, 1010 nt
Organism: Poecilia reticulata (guppy)
Lineage: Eukaryota; Metazoa; Chordata; Actinopteri; Cyprinodontiformes; Poeciliidae
Source: RefSeq, a predicted model, not a curated record